Molecule: long non-coding RNA, 265 nt
Organism: Thalassophryne amazonica
Lineage: Eukaryota; Metazoa; Chordata; Actinopteri; Batrachoidiformes; Batrachoididae
Exons: 3
Source: RefSeq, a predicted model, not a curated record
CUCCUCAUCCCUCUGUACCUGCCUUUGUGGUUCCCUCCUGCAUGUCCUGCACUUAUCUUAACCUUGUGCCUGUGUGUUGAUUGGUUGCUUGGCCGGUUUUCUGGUGCUUUUAGUGCAUCUGAUUGUUCGAAGGUCUUAAUGGUGGAUGGUGUAGAUCCGUAAAUAUUUAGGCAUUGACAGAUUUAUUGUUCUUUCAGCUGUGCACUGCAGCAUAUUGAACACAAAUGCUAAUUAUAACCUCAAAGUGUAGACUUUCACCUGUAAC